AGAGUUUGAUUAUGGCUCAGGACGAACGCUGGCGGCGUGCUUAACACAUGCAAGUCAAGGGAGAAAAAGGCAGCAAUGCUUUGAGUAAACCGGCAGACGGGUGCGUAACACGUAGGCAACCUUCCUUGUUGACUGGAAUAACCCCGAGAAAUCGGGAUUAAUACCAGAUAAUAUUGUUUUUUGGCAUUAAGAAACAAUCAAAGCUCCAAAAGAGCGCGGCAAGAUGGGCCUGCGUCCGAUUAGCUAGUUGGCGAGGUAAUGGCUCACCAAGGCAAUGAUCGGUAGCUGGUCUGAGAGGAUGAUCAGCCACACUGGAACUGAGACACGGUCCAGACUCCUACGGGAGGCAGCAGUGAGGAAUAUUGCUCAAUGGACGAAAGUCUGAAGCAGCGACGCCGCGUGAGGGAUGAAAUCCGUUAGGAUGUAAACCUCUUUUGUGGGUGAAGAAUAUAGCGCUAUAGGCGCUAUUGACGGUAGCCCGCGAAUAAGCAUCGGCUAACUACGUGCCAGCAGCCGCGGUAAUACGUAGGAUGCAAGCGUUGUCCGGAAUCACUGGGUGUAAAGGGUCCGCAGGUGGAUUUGUAAGUCUGUGGUGAAAUCUUACGGCUCAACCGUAAAACUGCCACAGAUACUGCCUUUCUAGAGUGUGAAAGAGGAAGAUGGAAUUCAUGGUGUAGCAGUGAAAUGCGUAGAUAUCAUGAAGAACACCGGUAGCGAAGGCGGUCUUCUGGUUCACUACUGACGCUCAUGGACGAAAGCGUGGGGAUCAAACAGGAUUAGAUACCCUGGUAGUCCACGCCCUAAACGAUGGAUACUCGAUGUCAGCUCGCAAGGGUUGGUGUCUAAGCUAACGCAAUAAGUAUCCCACCUGGGGAGUACGAUCGCAAGGUUGAAACUCAAAGGAAUUGACGGGGGCCCGCACAAGCAGUGGAGCAUGUGGUUCAAUUCGAUGCAACGCGAAGAACCUUACCUGGGUUUGAAAGGCAAGAGACAGGCGAUGAAAGUCGCCCUCGUAGCAAUACGUUCUUGUACAGGUGCUGCAUGGCUGUCGUCAGCUCGUGUCGUGAGAUGUUAGGUUAAGUCCUGCAACGAGCGCAACCCCUACGCUUAGUUGCCAACAGGUAAUGCUGGGCACUCUAAGCGGACUGCCUACGCAAGUAGAGAGGAAGGUGGGGAUGACGUCAAGUCCUCAUGGCCCUUACACCCAGGGCCACACACGUGCUACAAUGGCCGCUACAGAGGGUAGCCAAGGCGCAAGCCGGAGCCAAUCCCUUAAAAGCGGUCUCAGUUCGGAUUGGGGUCUGCAACUCGACCCCAUGAAGCUGGAAUUGCUAGUAAUCGCGGAUCAGCACGCCGCGGUGAAUACGUUCCCGGGCCUUGUACACACCGCCCGUCAAGCCAUGGAAACUGGGGGUACCCGAAACCGGCAUUCUAACCGCAAGGAGGAAACCGACUAAGGUAAAACCAGCGACUGGGGCUAAGUCGUAACAAGGUAGC
RNAcentral lists this ribosomal RNA (1497 nucleotides) under uncultured bacterium. Its description in RNAcentral is "bacterial SSU rRNA". It matches the Rfam family "Bacterial small subunit ribosomal RNA". The record is from RNAcentral.